GUAAAUAUAGUUUAAACAAAACUCUAGAUUGUGAAUCUAGUAAUAGAGGCUUACAACCCUCUUAUCUACC
This 70-nucleotide transfer RNA is filed under the name Cheirogaleus major (Greater dwarf lemur). Its description in RNAcentral is "tRNA-His". It matches the Rfam family "tRNA". From Rfam's summary of the family: Transfer RNA (tRNA) molecules are approximately 80 nucleotides in length. Their secondary structure includes four short double-helical elements and three loops (D, anti-codon, and T loops). The record is from RNAcentral. Lineage: Eukaryota; Metazoa; Chordata; Mammalia; Primates; Cheirogaleidae.